GGUUUCUUAGUGGAGUGCUUAUCACGUUCGCUUCACACGCGAGAGGUCUCCGGUUCGAUCCCAGACGGAACCA
Trichonephila inaurata madagascariensis is the source of this 73-nucleotide non-coding RNA. NCBI's taxonomy places the organism in Eukaryota, Metazoa, Arthropoda, Arachnida, Araneae, Nephilidae. The record is from the annotation of a GenBank genome assembly.